RNAcentral lists this small RNA (7376 nucleotides) under Monomorium pharaonis (pharaoh ant). RNAcentral's name for it is "uncharacterized LOC105828113". The record is from RNAcentral. Lineage: Eukaryota; Metazoa; Arthropoda; Insecta; Hymenoptera; Formicidae.
UCCGAACCACCGAGUCCUCCGCCAUCGCUACACCACCACUACCAACGAGACCGCCGACGCCGACGGGCGGCGGGCGGCGGCGACAACGACGGCGACGACGACCACGACCACGACCACGACCACGACCACGACCACGACGCCGACGACGACGACGACGCGAUCCCGCGCGGCGUGCACCGGGACAUCUCGCGUUUCCCUCGCAAUCGCCUCUCCAGACUCUUCAGCCAAACACUGACAUUGGAAAAAAUUCUGCACGAUUCCUUCGCAUUUGUUUUCCGUUCCGAAUCUACAGAAAUUCCCCGAAAAGACUCUCACGAUACGUAGUUUCAGCGAUCUCGAGCAAACUUGACGCGCGAUGGUAUUGAUACGACCGAAGAGCUUCGCAUCAAGGUGCGCCGUCGGUGAUCGACGCAGGACGCAAAAUUUUACAUUGCACUUUUAGAACCGUUUCUAUCGUGCCGGGCGCCCGGCGCGCGGCGCUCGGCUGAUCGGAGCGACGGUCACGCGCGUGCGCGCGCGCGCGCACAGGAUAAUACUGACAGUCAGCGUGGCGAGUGAUUCUCGAUAGAGAGAGAGAGAGAGAGAGAGAGAGAGAGAGAGAGAGAGAGAGAGAGAUUUCAUCGCAUCUCGAUUCUCUACGAAAUGCAAACGCGCAGCCACCUGAACAAAUUCCCAUCGAUCCUCAUAGUUUACGGAAAAUUAAAACUCUCUGAUCCUCCAACUCAUCGGACUCAUUAUUUUUUUCCUAAACUGCAGUUCCUUCGUGCACGUAUACCUGUACAAUGAAUAUUUCAUUUGCCAAGAUUGAACAUUAAUUGAUGUUGUCAAUAACCUAUAAUCUUUAUAAACGUACUUAAAAUAAAUUUUCUUACUUGUCAUUUCCCGUCGGACGGUAUUUCUAAACAGCAGCAGAAAAAGUCUUUUGGUCAACCAACGUGAGGGAUCUACACACACGUUGAUACAAACAGUGACAAAUAUUUAUUACGUUUAUUUUGUAUUUUAGAUAUUACAAGUAUUUAAGUCACUUGUACAAUGAUAAAAUCAAAGACAAAACUUGCCACACGAAAUUUACCUUUAUGUACGUAUUAACUCUCGUACAUCACUGGCCAGUAAGUAUUUUUCUACACUGCAACCUUUAUUUUAUUAAUACAUAUUCCCUUAGAAAGUCUUGUAUUCUUACAAAAGAUGAAAUAUAAUAACAGCUGUAUUAUGAUACUAGUGGUAAAUUAUAUUUUAACACAUUUUCCAAAAUGAUGAUAUUACACACGAGCGUUUUAAUAAAACUGCCAACUCAUUCGUCCAAUCCAAGUCUAUAUAGCCACUACCUGUUAUAAAUAAAAUUAUCGAUGGCGACUCCGCGCGUAAUCUACCUGUUAUUUGUUUUGUUUUUUUUUUCUAAUUUGACCAGCAUUUUCGCACCAGGUACCCGUCGGCGCUAGCGAUCGAGCUUUGAAUGAACCAAACAGCUGACUCCGCGUAGGAAUUGGGUCGCGAACGUGCGGUUUCGAACUUUGAAUGGUAUUCGGCGUUCGGUGAGUAAUAGCGACAGGAGGCGGUUGCAGGAGGACGUGGAGGAGGGCGGGCGACCUGUCACCGACAUCACUCAGUGUCUCCCUCCUGGCGUUCACUUCGCUCGAUUUUAUGACUCUCAUCCCGCACUUUCCCCCUUUCCCCCCUUCGCCACCGUCACCGCCGCCGCCGCCGCCGCCGCCGCCGUUCCCGUGCUCGUCCUCGCGCGUCUACCGUCGUCGUCCUCUGCGCGCGUUUACACGCCGCGUUCCGCAUAAUAUCGCAAAUUGACACAUCCGCGUUCGGCAGCCAUCGAUCGACGUGGCGUGGCGGCGCCGAGUUGGUCGCCAUCGACAAAGUGGAUAAUGAAUCCUGAAUUUCCGAAUUUAUGUUGGACGUGCCUUUCUUGUAUACAAGAGAAGCAGAGACAAGACACGAGUGAGCCGUCUUUUCGCAGAUUUCACUUGGCAUUUAUUUUUAUGUGUGAGCUCGACAUUAGACAAACUUGAGUAAAAAUAUCAUCUAUUUAGAUAUUUUACAAUUAUAAAAAUAUGUGUAAUGAAAUGUACCAUUUAUGGAUAAAGAAUUUAAUAAUAUAUCAAACGCAACAAUUUUUCGCAAAAAUGUCAUUUUAAUGCAAAAGUCAAAGUUGCUUGGCACACAUCCGAGCUAUGAACGUUGAGAUGGAACGUUAGUUUCUUUUAGGUGGAGACAACUUGUUUGUUUGCAAUGUAGAUUUUUAGCAAACCGAUCCUGUAGCACCGGUAAUCACGCGGAAUGAAUCGCUUAUAUUGUAAUCCCAAAUAAAAAAAAAAUAGCACAAUUACCGACUUGCUUUUCGCAUCCUUUCUGUUCCAUACUCCUUUAAUUCGCAUUUCCAGAAAACAUUGUCAAGCUGUUAAACUUUAUCUGCAGAGUGCAAAGGAUAUUUCAAACCUGUUAUUUCAUCAUAGAUCACGAGACGAAUCCAGUUAUGUUGCCAUCUGUCUAUAGUAACAAAGGAAGAACACACACACACACACACACACACACACACACACACACACACACUCUCUCUCUCUCUCUCUCAAUCGCGCGCGCGCGCAGCCAGCCACGAGCCAUUAAAUUUCUCGUGACGCCAGAGAAUGAUCGAUUCUUACGUAAGCCCCCUGCCUGCUACGAAUUAUCUAAGUGGCCCCGCGAAAAAUUCGAUAAACGUCGCCAGAGCCGAGAAAGCUGCCACCCUCGCUACUUCUCCGUAUUCUAGUCCAUGUGCUUGACAACUACAACCUGGUAUUUAUGAAAUAAACUAGAGUACGAAAUGUAUAUAAAAAAUAAAAACAAGGUGUAUAUGCGCGUGCAACAACAAUAUAUAAUAAUCAACGAUCAAAUUACCAAAUUAUAGCUUUCCAAUUCACAUCUAAUAAUUUCCUUAUGAUUUUCUCAUUGGGAAUUAAACAUGCAUUUUUAUUUUGUAUAGACGACAGACUUUGACGAUCGUAUUUUACUCGGAGCAAUUCCAGUCCGAAUGUACGAAAAUAGAGUAACGUUAGAGUGGUAGGAACUUCGAAUGUACAUUAAUAUGCUGGGAAAGACAAUACAAUACGAUCAUGUGCGACAUAACCUGCUUACUAUUCGUGCGUAAUUCUGCGAAACAUCCCUACUGUCUCUCUUAUUGUGUUGGAAAGGGGCCUAACAAUGUCAAAGUCUAUACAAUUAAGCUGGACGGAGCCAGGAAACAUGUUUGUACCCUGAUUGUUCGCCUUUCGUGGAAGGUCACGAGCGGGAAGAUGUUCGCAAGUUUAAUUCAAACUGUUGGUCGAAACAGGGGUAGAAAUUUUCCUUUCUUUAAAAAGCACAAACAAAAUUCCCAAAAGUACCUAUCGCAAAUAAGUAUACACAUCUUCCUGUUCUCGUAACAAAUUUCUUGUAUAGAUUUUUUUAGAAUAAUCUAAAAUUGUUUUAAUAAUAGCUGUAAAAUGUAUUGUCAAAAUAUUCUGGUGAAAAAUGUAAUACUGUAUUUCAGUAAUCUUGUUUAUUUUUAAAAUCAAGUCAACUAUUAGGUUACAUGAAAUGGCUUUUUGGACAUUGUAAUGAUCACGCAUAAAUACAUUACAAGAUAUUUUACACAACAUAUUUUAUCUCCGACUGAUAUCUCAAACAGAAAAAAUAAACAUUUCAACUUAACUCGAGUUAAAAUAAUCCGCAUGUGUAAACGGACCACGAUUUAAAUAAGAUUCAAUCCUGAGAAUUUCGCAUAUGUAAUCCGUUUAACUUUCUAUUAAUCGUCAGAAUUAAAUAUUCUUCGUGAUAUAGUUGGAUUAAUUGUACACGCCAUGUAAUUUACAGCAAGCACUGUUCUGGACGAUAGAUUGCAGAGUAGCUUGUUGUAUACGGUUUAGCAAAGAUAAUUACACGUUGCCUCCAUCACGUUUAGGAAAAUGCAUGUGCUGCUGUUCGAUUCUCGCGUGAAAAUUAGUUGUGUGGAUGGCAACCAAUGUUGUUGAUCAUCAGAGCACGGAGAAUGUUCCAUAGCGAAAGAACGUACGAUAGCACGAGAGGGCCUCGGAUGCGCGUAGCAACAUUAUUGUCGAGUCUGCGAAACACAACACCGAUCCGAUUAAGGUUCUCGAAUUACUAAAUUCCCUCGUGUCCUCGGCCACUCUUGUUUUCAUGGGACCGAGCGAUACUCUCUGCACGUUUGUUUAUAGUUCUUAGAGGGACGCAAUGAAUUCCGGCGGCCGCGCGCAUCCGUGCGUUUUCUUGAGCGUUGCCACUCGUACAAUUUGAAAUAACCGUUGUCGUGAGAAAAAGGGAUCUGUUAGUAAACCUAACCUAACCACUUAAAACCGUGCGGUAACGAGCGAGAAUGCCUUAUUUGUCACGACGUGUGACUCACGCAGACUUAUUUCCUCGAUCGCUCGCAAAGAUCAUGCAAAUUGUACUACACAUCUUUCCGAGACGGGCAAAAAUUUAUAUUGUCAAAAGUCACUUGAUAAUAUAAAUAAUGUACAUGGUACAAAUACAAGAGAAUUUAAGAACGAAUUUAAUUAAAAAAUCUUGCUAGUUAAUUGAUUCGACGAUUAGUCGCGUCGUACAUACAUAUCGUAUCUAUUCCAUUAUUUCAGGGGGUUGUCAAAUAUCAAUUUGAUAAACCUCGAUCAAGAUAUACGACAUAACAUCACAAAUGCAAAAGUACAUCUAUCGUGUGGCCUAAUUCUCGGCCUCUAAACUCAAUAUGGACUAGUCAGGCAGGUAGCGAUCGGAUGUGAUUAGUAUAUAUGCUGCCACAUUCAAUUAUUCAAGUGCGAUUGCUGCUGUACUAAUAUCAAUCUACGCAAUUUAUAGUUGAGCGUGCUCAACGAAGAACGAAAGGAAGGUUUUGCCGGACGGACAUCGCAAAGUAUUGCGAGCAAGGCGAUGAGGUACCUUCGCGUAUACAUAUAUAUGCUGCGUGGCGCAUUAUAACAGACUAAGGGUGGAUAACCCGUGAUCGAUCAUCCCGGUGAAUGCGACACCCCUACGAACGCACAUCCGCGCCCCAUUAAACCGGUAGUUCGCCCUUGCGAGGUACGCGCGCGCACCUAUCACCCCCGAAUCGAACGAGAAAGUACUUUUCCCUUCGCAAGAUUGCAUCGCGCGAUCGAAAUUUCCUUUCCUCGCCGAAAAUAAAAUAUUGCAACGGCAUUCGCAUGUACACACAUGCAUUACAUAAAUAUUGAGAAAGAGCCGCUCAUCCGAUUAUGCAAUCAUUGAAAUUAAUUAGUCAGAUUAAUUUAUAUAUUCGAUAGAAGUGAUAAAUGCCGGAAGAAAUUCAAUGAUACCGUCGCGGUCUAGGAGCAACGCUUUCUACGAAAGAGAUCAAGUGAAUUUGGACGAGAGUUCGUUCGUUCGUUCGCUCUCGUGUUAGCGAUAAUAGUGAUAGACAGGCAACGAAGUUACGUGGGCGUCUUAGCGACGUGCGAGUUCUGCGCGCAGCAUAAAUUACCAUCCGAAAUGAAGGUGGAAAUCUGAUCUCGUCAUUAAGCGCCGCUACCCUCGCUUUAUGAAACUGAAAUUCUCAUUGCAUCGUCUUGCAUAUAAUCGUGUGCCGAGUACAAAAGUAAGCAUGAUAAGUGAAUAAAUGCUAUAAACCCAUAAAUGCCAUAAUAACGUCAUCUUAGAAGACGACUUGAAAUGACUUUUUGACAAAAAAGGCGAUUUAUAUAAUGUCAAACUAUUAUUUUCGUACCUUUCCAUAAAUGAUUGCGGUGGACAAUUUUAGACAAAAGAUAGCGAAACUAAAUGUGAUGUUAACCACUAAUGAUUCCAAACAGCAAUGACUUUAUUAAUUUAUUCCGUCACGUAUUACUACAUCAUAAUGACAUAUCGACUUUUAUUGUUGCAGCACAAUCAAAUGCUCAACUACUCGAUCAAAGAUAACACAAAUAUGGUAGUAAAAGGAAUAAUAUUCUGCUAUUCUCAAAAUAUGACUAGAAAUUUAUAUAUAUAAUAUAUUUUGAUGACGACACACACACACACGUUGAAAAUUAAAAUUUCCUUUUGUUUAAAUUAAAUUAAUUUUUUUAAUUAUUAAUUUCCGUACGUUCGCUUUUCACAAGAAAUGUUUCAUACAAAAAGCAUCUCGCCUUUUUGCACGUCACGUCAAAAGAAAUAUGUGAAAUAUGUAUUUUGAUCGGGUAAAAGCCUAAGAAAGAGAGAGGGGAGAUGAAGAGAAAGAGAUAGAGAACCACAGAAUAUUCUCCGACAAAUUCCAAUGUGACUAAACCCUCACAGAUGACUGGCAGGCCGGCUGUGCGCGGGAUGCAGGAGGGUUGGUUGGGGUCGCCAGGGUAUCAGAAAAGAUCUCUCCUUCUCUCCUUCGUCCUCCUGCAUCGCGACGAUUCGAGCGGUCACCGAAAAGCCUACUACACCGGUCGCAUUCACGUCGAAGAUGUUCACAUCGACAAACUCACAAUUAAUUCGAUAAAAAAAUUUUUUAUUCUUUCUCUCUCUCUCUCUCUCUCUCUCUCUCUCUCUCUCUCUCUCUCUCUCUCUCGCGAUAGUCAUCCAAAAACUAUUUGAGAAUCCAUGAUUCCGAGUAACUUUCAAUUUUUAUGACAAACAAAAUUUUUUUCUAAUCGCUUUAAUAGAAAACUAUAUGUGAUAAAUUCACUGUUGACUCUAUAUAAAUUAUCGUGAUUUAAUCACCGGUAAAAUAAUAAUAAUGUAAAUUUUGUCCUUGUCUUUUCUUACGCUUUAUAAUUAGAUUCUAAAAUAAAGAAACAAUCUGGCCAAAGAAUUCGUUAAUGCGCGAAAAAGCAUACGAGCAAUUUCAUUUACGGCAGAAAAUGACGAGUGAACGUUCUACGAGCGCAAGUUAUUUGCACAUACGAGAUUCGAUUCCUGAUACAUGACUAAGGAUCACUUAGUAUGCGAGCUGCGUUUCUCGAAUCGCUGUCAAAACGAUUAGGUAAGAGGACUCGCAAGUCAAAGAAGGAUCUCGCGAGAAACAAGGGAGGAGGAAAAGGAGAGAGAGAGAAAGAGAGAGAGAGAGAGAGAGAGAGAGAGAGAGAGAGAGAGAGAGAGAGAGAGAGAAAAGAAGAAGAAGGGAAUGGCAGUUUCUCUCAUAAGUUGUAUAGUUCUCUCUCUGUUUCUAGUCACGGUAAUGUCCUUUCAUGAAGGCUGCUUUAUCGUUCCGACCACACAGACCAAUUAGACGCGUGUAAAAUCGAGCCCAUACAUUUUCUCAAAGGACCAAAUUUCCUGAUCCCCGGAGCAUCCGGUACGGGACAAAAACUUGUUCGAAUAGUCGAAGCUAUACAUCUGAGGAUGUAUCUUAUAAACUGCGAAACUCAUUUGUCUAUCAAAUCUCAUUAGUUUUUCUACCCAGAAUGGAGCAUAAAAAA